This 250-nucleotide ribosomal RNA is filed under the name uncultured bacterium. RNAcentral's name for it is "partial 16S ribosomal RNA". It matches the Rfam family "Archaeal small subunit ribosomal RNA", at positions 474 to 724 of the family's 1478-position model. The record is from RNAcentral. RNAcentral also lists the same sequence under 1 other name.
UACCAGCACCCCGAGUGGUCGGGACGAUUAUUGGGCCUAAAGCAUCCGUAGCCGGUCAUGCAAGUCCUCCGUUAAAUCCACCUGCUUAACAGAUGGGCUGCGGAGGAUACUACAAGGCUAGGAGGCGGAAGAGGCAAGCGGUACUCAGUGGGUAGGGGUAAAAUCCUCUGAUCCAUUGAAGACCACCAGUGGCGAAGGCGGCUUGCCAAUACGCGCUCGACGGUGAGGGAUGAAAGCUGGGGGAGCAAAC